RNAcentral lists this transfer RNA (56 nucleotides) under Hekistocarpa minutiflora. Its description in RNAcentral is "partial transfer RNA-Leu". Lineage: Eukaryota; Viridiplantae; Streptophyta; Magnoliopsida; Gentianales; Rubiaceae. The record is from RNAcentral.
GGAAUUAAAAUCCGUCGACUUUAAAAAUCGUGAGGGUUCAAGUCCCUCUAUCCCCA